UACGGGGGGAGCAAGCGUUGUUCGGAUUUACUGGGCGUAAAGGGCGCGUAGGCGGCCAGCACAAGUCAGUUGUGAAAUCUCCGGGCUUAACUCGGAAAGGUCAACUGAUACUGUGCGGCUAGAGUGCAGAAGGGGCAACUGGAAUUCUCGGUGUAGCGGUGAAAUGCGUAGAUAUCGGGAGGAACACCAGUGGCGAAGGCGACUACCUGGCCUGUUUCUUGACGCUGAGGCGCGAAAGCUAGGGGAGCAAACGGG
RNAcentral lists this ribosomal RNA (255 nucleotides) under uncultured bacterium. RNAcentral's name for it is "partial 16S ribosomal RNA". It matches the Rfam family "Bacterial small subunit ribosomal RNA", at positions 524 to 776 of the family's 1533-position model. The record is from RNAcentral.